Molecule: ribosomal RNA, 253 nt
Filed under: uncultured bacterium
Lineage: Bacteria
Description: partial 16S ribosomal RNA
Rfam family: Bacterial small subunit ribosomal RNA
Source: RNAcentral
UACGAAGGGUGCAAGCGUUGCUCGGAAUUAUUGGGCGUAAAGGGUAGGUAGGUGGUUGCGUAUGUCUGAGGUGAAAGCCCUAAGCUUAACUUAGGAAGUGCCUUGGAAACGGCGUAACUAGAGUACUGGAGAGGUUCGUAGAAUUCCUGGUGUAGCGGUGAAAUGCGCAGAUAUCAGGAGGAACACCGGUGGCGAAGGCGCCUAUCUGGCCCGAUACUGACGCUGAGGCGCGAAAGCUAGGGGAGCAAACGGG